GUCCCAGCCGCCGCGGUAAUACGGAGGGUCCGAGCGUUAAUCGGAAUUACUGGGCGUAAAGCGCGCGUAGGUGGUUCAGUCAGUCAGAUGUGAAAGCCCCGGGCUCAACCUGGGAACUGCACCUGAUACUGCUGAGCUAGAGUACGGUAGAGGGUAGUGGAAUUUCCGGUGUAGCGGUGAAAUGCGUAGAGAUCGGAAGGAACACCAGUGGCGAAGGCGACUACCUGGACCGAUACUGACACUGAGGUGCGAAAGCGUGGGUAGCAAACAGGAUUAGAUACCCUGGUAGUCCACGCCGUAAACGAUGUCAACUAGCCGUUGGGGGACUUGAUCCUUUAGUGGCGAAGCUAACGCGAUAAGUUGACCGCCUGGGGAGUACGGCCGCAAGGUUAAAACUCAAAUGAAUUGACGGGGGCCCGCACAAGCGGUGGAGCAUGUGGUUUAAUUCGAAGCAACGCAAAGAACCUUACCUACUCUUGACAUCCAGAGAACUCUCCAGAGAUGGAUUGGUGCCUUCGGGAACUUUGAGACAGGUGCUGCAUGGCUGUCGUCAGCCUCGUGUUGUGAAAUGUUGGGUUAAGUCCCGUAACGAGCGCAACCCUUAUCCUUAUUUGCCAGCGAGUAAUGUCGGGAACUCUAAGGAGACUGCCGGUGACAAACCGGAGGAAGGUGGGGAUGACGUCAAGUCAUCAUGGCCCUUACGAGUAGGGCUACACACGUGCUACAAUGGCCGGUACAGAGGGCUGCAAACUCGCGAGAGUAAGCUAAUCUCACAAAACCGGUCGUAGUCCGGAUCGCAGUCUGCAACUCGACUGCGUGAAGUCGGAAUCGCUAGUAAUCGUGAAUCAGAAUGUCACGGUGAAUACGUUCCCGGGCCUUGUACACACCGCCCGUCACACCAUGGGAGUGGGUUGCACCAGAAGUAGCUAGUCUAACCUUCGGGAGGACGGUUACCACGGUGUGAUUCAUGACUGGGGUGAAGUCGUAACAAGGUAACC
This 998-nucleotide ribosomal RNA is filed under the name uncultured bacterium. Its description in RNAcentral is "bacterial SSU rRNA". It matches the Rfam family "Bacterial small subunit ribosomal RNA", at positions 505 to 1501 of the family's 1533-position model. The record is from RNAcentral.